ACAGAUGCCUCAGAGCCCCGGGCCGCAGUUAAGGUGACGAGAUGCAGCAAUUCUUUAUGAACAUUUCAUUCCUGCUCGCUACACGACGUAAAUUAGAUGGUGUGUUACAUUCGGGCAAUAAGAGAGAUAUGUCACCACGACGCUGGCCCAUUGGAUGGAGAGGGGGUUUGGCGAAGAGCUGAAAGGAUUUCACCCUGAUGUGCACACUACUGAGUGACCCCGCUCACCAGCGGCUCCGCUGAUUGCUUUGCACCUUGCAGACGCCGCAAUUGGCUCAGCCUC
RNAcentral lists this long non-coding RNA (282 nucleotides) under Homo sapiens (human). RNAcentral's name for it is "HSALNT0167276". The record is from RNAcentral. Lineage: Eukaryota; Metazoa; Chordata; Mammalia; Primates; Hominidae.